AACGAACGCUGGCGGUGCGUUUUAAGCAUGCAAGUCGAACGGCAGGAAGGUGCUUGCACUUUCCUAGAGUGGCGGACUGGUGAGUAACGCGUAGGUGAUCUACCUUUAAGACUGGGACAGCCUUUAGACAUAAGGGGUAAUACCGGAUGUGCUUAUUAUGUUUUGACGUAGUAAGGGAAGGAGCGUUUGCUCCGCUUAGAGAUGAGCCUGCGUCCCAUUAGCUAGUUGGUAAGGUAACGGCCUACCAAGGCGAUGAUGGGUAUCCGACCUGAGAGGGUGAUCGGACACAUUGGGACUGAGAUACGGCCCACACUCAUACGGGAGGCAGCAGCUGAGAAUCUUCCGCAAUGGACGAAAGUCUGACGGAGCGACACCGCGUGAAUGAUGAAGGCCGAAAGGUUGUAAAGUUCUUUUGCAGACAAAGAAUAAGGAUAGAAGGAAAUGUCUAUUUGAUGACGGUAGUUAUGCGAAUAAGCCCCGGCUAAUUACGUGCCAGCAGCCGCGGUAAUACGUAAGGGGCGAGCGUUGUUCGGAAUUAUUGGGCGUAAAGGGCAUGUAGGCGGUUGGGUAAGCCUGAUGUGAAAUCUACGAGCUUAACUCGUAAACUGCAUUGGGUACUGCUCAUCCUGAAUCAUAGAGGGGGAACUGGAAUUCCAAGUGUAGGGGUGGAAUCUGUAGAUAUUUGGAAGAACACCGGUGGCGAAGGCGGGUUCCUAGCUAAUGAUUGACGCUGAUGUGCGAAGGUGCGGGGAGCAAACAGGAUUAGAUACCCUGGUAGUCCGCACAGUAAACGAUGUACACUAGGUGUUGGGGUAAAACUCAGUGCCGGCGCAAACGCAAUAAGUGUACCGCCUGGGGAGUAUGCCCACAAGGGUGACACUCAAAGGAAUUGACGGUGGCCCACACAAGCGGUGGAGCAUGUGGUUUAGUUCGAUGAUACGCGAGGAACCUUACCUGGGGUCUGACAUCAAGAGGGAUACUAUAGAGAUAUGUAGCGUAUCCAUACGUCUCUGACUGGUGCUGCAUGGCUGUCGUCAGCUCGUGCCGUGAGGUGUUGGGUUAGUCCGCCACGAGCGCCACCCCUACU
RNAcentral lists this ribosomal RNA (1087 nucleotides) under Treponema sp. oral taxon G52. RNAcentral's name for it is "bacterial SSU rRNA". It matches the Rfam family "Bacterial small subunit ribosomal RNA", at positions 28 to 1109 of the family's 1533-position model. The record is from RNAcentral. Lineage: Bacteria; Pseudomonadati; Spirochaetota; Spirochaetia; Treponematales; Treponemataceae.